Molecule: ribosomal RNA, 253 nt
Filed under: uncultured bacterium
Lineage: Bacteria
Also listed under: 1 other name
Description: partial 16S ribosomal RNA
Rfam family: Bacterial small subunit ribosomal RNA
Source: RNAcentral
GACGUAGGAUGCAAGCGUUGUCCGGAAUUAUUGGGCGUAAAGAGUUCGUAGGCGGUUAUCCAAGUCUGGUGUUAAAGCCCGAAGCUCAACUUCGGCAUGGCAUUGGAAACUGGAUGGCUAGAGUGUGGUAGAGGUAUCGGGAAUUCCUGGUGUAGCGGUGAAAUGCGUAGAUAUCAGGAGGAACACCGGUGGCGAAAGCGCGAUACUGGGCCAUAACUGACGCUGAGGAACGAAAGCCAGGGGAGCGAAAGGG